Molecule: ribosomal RNA, 478 nt
Filed under: uncultured bacterium
Lineage: Bacteria
Description: partial 16S ribosomal RNA
Rfam family: Bacterial small subunit ribosomal RNA
Source: RNAcentral
GACGAACGCUGGCGGCGUGCUUAACACAUGCAAGUCGAACGGUAAGGCCCUUCGGGGUACACGAGUGGCGAACGGGUGAGUAACACGUGGGUGAUCUGCCCUGCACUUCGGGAUAAGCCUGGGAAACUGGGUCUAAUACCGGAUAGGACCACUGCCUGCAUGGGUGGUGGUGGAAAGCUUUUGCGGUGUGGGGUGGGCCCGCGGCCUAUCAGCUUGUUGGUGGGGUGAUGGCCUACCAAGGCGACGACGGGUAGCCGGCCUGGGAGGGUGACCGGCCACACUGGGACUGAGAUACGGCCCAGACUCCUACGGGAGGCAGCAGUGGGGAAUAUUGCACAAUGGGCGCAAGCCUGAUGCAGCGACGCCGCGUGAGGGAUGACGGCCUUCGGGUUGUAAACCUCUUUCAGCACCGACGAAGCGCAAGUGACGGUAGGUGCAGAAGAAGGACCGGCCAACUACGUGCCAGCCGCCGCCGUAA